GGGAUCCAUUUCCCCGCCCUUGAACCCCAGACCUGCAACAGUCAGUACGAUGCAGCGGCAGCGACACCUCAAGGACUCUGAGCCAAGACCCCAUGAGGUUUCACAGGCUUCUGCUGUCUCUUUUGGAAUCCUGCGGCCACCAUGUGAACAAGCCUGUGCCGACCUGGUUCUGACCCAGCAGGCCUGAGGCAGGGACCGAGAUUUGCACCCCAGCAAGCUCCCGAGUGAUGACAGUGUGGGCUGUGGACCCCCUUUCAGCCACACCUACUAACAGAAAUGGUGAUUUUCCACUUCUCGGCACUUGGAGUGGACACAGGACACCUGCUGGAAAGUUAGUGACUGUUUUUGCUGCAAAGGCAGGAGAUGGAGCAGGACCAGUGUGGGAACGGCAAUCGUAACAGCGGCGCCUAACCAGCGAUGACGGAGUCCUGCUCUACGCUGGUCACACACAUCAUCUUUCAUUCUUACGAUACCCCUGGAGGCAAAGCUGGGGCAUGGAGUCUCCCAGAAGUUGGUUUAAAUCUUCUUUCCACCACAAAGUGAGCUGUGUGGCCUUCAGCGGGCUGCAGUCCCCGGUGUGGUGUCCUCAGAUGAAGCAUGGUGGCAACCAGGACCCCACUGCCAACCUCUCAGAAGGAAGGAAGUGGAUGAAGUUCCCACAGAAAACCCGUCAAUGCCAUCACCUUGCCCUUGCCCUCCACUCUUUACCUGCCCUCAGGGCAUGCUUGAUCCUUCCCUUCAGUGUGUCUGAGUUCUACUAUAUCCUGGGGAGAAAGCUAAGUUCUUAGCCAUGACAUUGGCCUUUUUUUCUUUUUUGUAAAAACCAAAAAUCGAAACAGUGAGAAAUGUUCCCUUCUUGCCUCCCUGCACUGCCUCCUCUUUCUCUCCCUUAAUUUCUUAGGAAUGAAAU
Hyaena hyaena (striped hyena) is the source of this 910-nucleotide long non-coding RNA. RefSeq lists it as uncharacterized. NCBI's taxonomy places the organism in Eukaryota, Metazoa, Chordata, Mammalia, Carnivora, Hyaenidae. The record is from RefSeq and is a predicted model, not a curated record. The transcript is spliced from 5 exons.